This 492-nucleotide long non-coding RNA is filed under the name Olea europaea subsp. europaea. The record is from RNAcentral. Lineage: Eukaryota; Viridiplantae; Streptophyta; Magnoliopsida; Lamiales; Oleaceae.
CUUUGAUGCUUAAGCUUUCACAAAAUCUACUACCUCUUAAAAGAGGGGCUUUGAUUCUACUAUUCAUUUAUGUCACAUAGCUUUUCACACUGUAUUCAACUUAUCCGGUUUUGCUACAGUAAUAUAUUCCUGUGACACGCUUUCUUCUCUGGACCACACAUAUGCUUGCGUUUGAGCCCCAUUUUAGUUCAUUUUUCUACAUUUUCCAACAUUUUUGAACGCUUGUCUUUGCCGGUCAAUAUUCAAUUGGAAGGUUGCUUGCAUACAAUUGGCCCGUGGGACCCAGCAGCCUACAACUAUUGACUGCAGAAAAUGGAGUAGGGAGGCUAUGAACAUUGCCUUUGCCACAGUAAGAGGGAACGCUUAUGUUGGAUGGACCUAAUGAAUUUUUUGGAAAUUUUGAAGCUUCAGGAACUCGCAGAAGAGAUAAUGAGGUCAUAGCAUUAAUUCAUCACCACUCAAUUAUUUUAUACAAUCAUUUCAUAAACGACU